This 108-nucleotide small nuclear RNA is filed under the name Erinaceus europaeus (western European hedgehog). Lineage: Eukaryota; Metazoa; Chordata; Mammalia; Eulipotyphla; Erinaceidae. The record is from RNAcentral.
GUGCUCGCUUUGGCAGCACAUAUACUAAAAUUGGAACAAUACAAAAGAAGAUUAGCAUGGGCCCUUGUGCAGGAUGACACGAAAAUUCGUGCAGUGUUCAUAUUUUUG